UACUACCAUGGAAGUCUUUCGAAGAGAGAUAUGGUAGAUGGACUAGAAGAGCAUGGCAUUUACUGCUGUGUCGAUAUUUUCUCCUCGGACCUUGAAAAUCUAUGGUGGGGUCACGCAAACUUCUCAACAGGCCGUACCGAUAUCCGCAGCUGGUCUCCAAGGUGAAGAGUCUCUAGUCGAUAGAAUAAUGUAGGUAAGGGAAGUCGGCAAAUUAGAUCCGUAACUUCGGGAUAAGGAU
RNAcentral lists this non-coding RNA (238 nucleotides) under Megaselia scalaris. RNAcentral describes it as "Eukaryotic large subunit ribosomal RNA". It matches the Rfam family "Eukaryotic large subunit ribosomal RNA", at positions 1713 to 1948 of the family's 3401-position model. The record is from Rfam by way of RNAcentral. Lineage: Eukaryota; Metazoa; Arthropoda; Insecta; Diptera; Phoridae.